Molecule: ribosomal RNA, 293 nt
Filed under: uncultured bacterium
Lineage: Bacteria
Description: partial 16S ribosomal RNA
Rfam family: Archaeal small subunit ribosomal RNA
Source: RNAcentral
GUGCCAGCAGCCGCGGUAAUACCGGCAGCUCAAGUGAUGUCCCAUAUUAUUGGGCCUAAAGCGUCCGUAGCUGGCUACGCAAGUCCGUCGGGAAAUCCACUCGCCCAACGAGUGGGCGUCCGACGGAAACUGCAUAGCUUGGGACCGGAAGGCUCGAAGGGUACGUGCGGGGUAGGAGUGAAAUCCCAUAAUCCCGCACGGACCACCGAUGGCGAAAGCACUUCGAGAAAACGGAUCCGACAGUGAGGGACGAAAGCCAGGGUCUCCAACCGGAUUAGAAACCCUAGUAGUCC